CCUACUAUGCUGGGACGAAAAAUAGAGGCCUCUAAAGUCCAAAGCUACUAAAGUGUACAACAUCAGUGAGAUGAAACAAGUCCUGAAACUUGUGUUCCCAGUUGCUGUUUAUUCACGCCUUCACAGGAUGUGAUACGACACGCAUUUUUAGUGUUGGCAAACAGACAGCAUUCCAGAAACUUGUGGUGAGUCAACCAUCCAGUCCUGUGCAAAUGUGUUUCUGCUCCCACAUCAAGCAAGGAAUGUCAUAGAGGACCAUGGGACCAAGGCAAUGGCAGUGUUGUUUGGCGGAAAGAGUACAGAUUCACUUGCCUCUUUGCGCUACAACCUUUUUAGCAAGAAAAUCGUUACCGCCAAAUCAUUUGUUGCCCCAGAACGUCUGCCUCCAACUGAGUCCGCAACCAAAUACCACUGCCAAAGAGUUUACUUCCAGAUCAUGGUGUGGAUUGGAAAGGAAGGUGACAUGAACACAGUGGAUUGGGGAUGGAAACUGGUGGACAACCGGUUCCUGCCAGUUAUGACCAGUAAGACUGCUGCCCCAGAAAGCCUCCUGCAGAUGAUCCACUGUAAUUGCACAACUGCCUGCAAAACACAACGGUGCAGUUGCAGGGCAUAUGGACUACCUUGCAUGCCUGCUUGUGGACCAUGUCAAGGUGGGGAUUGUGAGAAUCACUAUAAUCAACCUCUAUGGGAGGAAGAGUGUGACGAUAUAAAAAACAAAAGGCAAAAAAAAAUGCCUUAUAAAAAAUGUUUAAUAAAAUAUAUAAAAAAUAAAACAAAGAAAAUGAAAAGGGGUUAGCGGUACUGAGCCUUCACGUGGCAGCCCUGUUUUGACUCACUUUACAGUACCACACAGUUCUAAUGAAUUUAGUCUUUAUUGGAAUACAAAAAAUGGUUAUGAACCACAGAAACCACCAACACAAGAAAAAACAAUAUGAAAAAGGAGAAAUAUGCAAUUACUUAAGGGGAAUUUGACUUAUUUUUGGCAUGUAUAUGCUUGCACUUGUACUCACUUAUCUAUCAUGCAAAAAUACUAAUUAGAAUAUUACAUGGGCAAAACAUGUAUCAGGCACCAGUAUUCCUGGUCUAGGAGGUAAACAAAGGAGUAAUGGUCAUUUUAUGGACCUGAAGGCCGCCAUUUUGAAAAUGGGGCCUUUCUUGGAGUAAA
Molecule: long non-coding RNA, 1168 nt
Organism: Clupea harengus (Atlantic herring)
Lineage: Eukaryota; Metazoa; Chordata; Actinopteri; Clupeiformes; Clupeidae
Source: Ensembl